UACGUUCCCGGGCCUUGUACACACCGCCCGUCACACCACGAAAGUCGGCAACACCCGAAGCCGGUGGCCCAACCUCAGGGAGGGAGCCGUCGAAGGUGGGGUUGGCGAUUGGGGUG
RNAcentral lists this ribosomal RNA (116 nucleotides) under uncultured bacterium. RNAcentral describes it as "partial 16S ribosomal RNA". It matches the Rfam family "Bacterial small subunit ribosomal RNA", at positions 1367 to 1482 of the family's 1533-position model. The record is from RNAcentral.